This 483-nucleotide ribosomal RNA is filed under the name uncultured soil bacterium. Its description in RNAcentral is "bacterial SSU rRNA". It matches the Rfam family "Bacterial small subunit ribosomal RNA", at positions 26 to 506 of the family's 1533-position model. The record is from RNAcentral.
AGAUUGAACGCUGGCGGAAUGCCUUACACAUGCAAGUCGAACGGCAGCACGGGAGCAAUCCUGGUGGCGAGUGGCGAACGGGUGAGUAAUACAUCGGAACGUGCCCAAUCGUGGGGGAUAACGUAGCGAAAGCUACGCUAAUACCGCAUACGAUCUACGGAUGAAAGCAGGGGAUCGCAAGACCUUGCGCGAAUGGAGCGGCCAAUGGCAGAUUAGGUAGUUGGUGGGGUAAAGGCUCACCAAGCCUUCGAUCUGUAGCUGGUCUGAGAGGACGACCAGCCACACUGGGACUGAGACACGGCCCAGACUCCUACGGGAGGCAGCAGUGGGGAAUUUUGGACAAUGGGCGCAGGCCUGAUCCAGCCAUUCCGCGUGCAGGAUGAAGGCCUUCGGUUGUAACUGCUUUUGUACGGUAACGAAAGCCUUACCUCUAAUACGAGGAGUCAGUGACGGUACCGUAAGAAUAAGCACCGCUAACUACGU